This 2382-nucleotide long non-coding RNA is filed under the name Linum usitatissimum (flax). RNAcentral describes it as "long non-coding RNA (LUSI_LNC007751)". Lineage: Eukaryota; Viridiplantae; Streptophyta; Magnoliopsida; Malpighiales; Linaceae. The record is from RNAcentral.
UUGUGUUUGUUUGAUAAGGUAAACUAGUAAAACUUGGGCAGUCGGAGCAAAAUUUCACAUCUUGCAUUAACAUAGCCUCGGAUAGAACAUUACAAUGUAAACUUUGAUACUACAAAAUUUCACUAAGCCGCAAUGUUUCGAACUUCUAAAGUGAAACUAGAGCACAAGGCGUACAAGUAGGGGGCAAAACUCCCCCAAACGUUUCUUAAGCAUCAGCAAUUGUGACUUCCACCUCAACACCGGGCUCGAUCGUGAUCGAGGUAAUCUGCUUCACAACCUCGGGGGAGCUGAACAGGUCGAUGACACGCUUGUGCACACGAAGCUCAAAUCUGUCGAAUGUGUUGGUUCCUGUAACGAACAAACAGACUAAGUUACCAGUUUCGAAAAACCUACAGAAAGAAAGAAAAGAAGCAUGGAGAUCCUCAAAUACGAAAGAAACAUGCUAAAUUUAUCAUCCAUUCAUCAUCAUCACAUCCUCAAAUGCUUGUAAAUAAACAAAAUGAAGAAUCCCACAUUCUUCUAAUGGAUUCAACCAGUAAUCAAAUUCAUCUAAUUGCAAACACAAUUCACACUGAUUGCAACAAAGAGCAUCUUAGAAUUCAACUCUGCAUCAAUGCUUCAACAAAAAUGAAGUCAUUAACACCGACCGAAUUGAGAAAUGGUUGAGCAAAUUACCUUCACCGCAAGGAGACUUCCUGGUGGUAAUAAGAAGAGUCUUGGUGGGCAUCCUCACCGGUCCCUUAACCCUCAACAUCUUAUCCUUAGCACCACGGAUCAAAUCUCCACAAACUACAAAAAAAUCCACCACCUCAAUUCAGGAACACAAUCAGCAAAGUUCGAAAUACUACAAGGACAGUAAAAGGACUGACCUUUCUCGAGGUUCUUAACAUUCUUGGAGGAAAGAGUGAUUCUAAUCUUAUGGAUCUGCUGCUGAGACUCUUCCAGCCCUGCCUUCGGUUGCUUGAUCGCAGCGUACGUCGCCAUUUCUCGCCCUGAAACCAACAGACCGCCGAAGAUAAGAAACUGUUUGGACUCCGAUGAUUGGUACAGCAAUGAAGAUCAAUAUGCAGAGAUGGAAGUUGAGCUAUACCUUGCUUGUAAAUGGUGUGGCUUAGCUUGCUAAGAUCAGUUGGCGGCGGAUUCUCCUUCUGGUUUCUAUUCUAACGAUCGGGGAAAUCGGAGUUGCAGAAAUCGUGAAAGGGUUUUGGUUUUCUAGACUGCCAGGUCUGUUUUUCGCGGGCUUCUUCUUCAAAUUUGGCCCAAGCUUUCCGAGAUCAUCAGGGUUCGACACUAUGCUUGGGAUUCGACGAGCCUUUCUGUUUUUAUCAGUUAGAUCGUAGCUGUGCCAUUGUCAUUCAUUGACUCUGCUGAAGCGGUCCGCCUUCUACACUCGUUGUACCCGGAUAUUAGAGUUGGAAGUCAUCUCGGUGAAUGUCGCUUCUUGUUUAGGAAGUUUUAUUUCCAAAGAAGUUAUUUCAUGUUUUCAGUAUGCACAUUCCUCGUCCGAAUAAUCGAGUCGUUCAUUUAGUGGCACACAAAGCACUUCAUUACCAAAAUCCUUAACCUGUAGUUUAAAUCUCCGUUAUGUUAUUUUUAUGUAACUUAGUUGAUACCCUUUUUUUACCUUAGUAAAAAACCAUCUAUAUGAGAAGGGAGUGCAAUAGAAGAGAGAGUAGGGACAGCAUAUACAACGGUUAAUUGGGGGAUACCACGAUUGCGGCAAACAACGAGGUACUUCGAUCGUCUGAUUUUGAAUCGAGAGAUGAAUAAAACUGGUUACAGAAUGCAACUUAAUGCAGGUCAAGUGAGGACUUAACUUACAUGAGCUUACCUGGUACAUCACUGGCAACAACACUAAAACUCAUUGGUAUUCAGAACAAAAUGGAUAGAAUCCAAUUGGAUUACCAAGUAACGAGAGCAACAACAGGUUAUUGGGAUGUAAGAAUUCUUGCCGUACAGCUCACGUUAGCAUAACCAAAACAAAACCAUAAUGGACAAAAAUGUAACACAAAACAUCGAACGAUUCCUUUCUGAAGUCAUAAAUUCUGACAAAAGCUUUUAACCGUAAUGACUCUUUCGAGUUUUUUCUCAUACCAGCCGUUCAAUGUACACAUUGAGCAGAAAAGUCGCAAAAACAUUUCCAAAUUUAACUUCUCUAACAAACUAACGAUUUCAAACAAAACCAAAGAGCUUCAUUACGAACAAGAACACAAGAGGGGCAAUGUUAUCAAGCAUCGGCAAUGGUGACUUCAACCUCAACACCAGGCUCGAUCGUGAUCGAGGUGAUCUGCUUCACAACUUCUGCGGAGCUGAAUAGAUCAAUCACACGCUUGUGUACUCGGAGCUCGAAUCUAUCAAAGGUGUUUGUUCCUGCCAAAUAGC